GGUGCUAUAGUGUAGUGGUUAUCACUCGGGAUUUUGAUUCCCGUAACCCAGGUUCGAACCCUGGUAGCACCU
RNAcentral lists this transfer RNA (72 nucleotides) under Laccaria bicolor S238N-H82. Its description in RNAcentral is "tRNA-Gln (TTG) (tRNA-Gln-TTG-1-1)". It matches the Rfam family "tRNA". From Rfam's summary of the family: Transfer RNA (tRNA) molecules are approximately 80 nucleotides in length. Their secondary structure includes four short double-helical elements and three loops (D, anti-codon, and T loops). The record is from RNAcentral. Lineage: Eukaryota; Fungi; Basidiomycota; Agaricomycetes; Agaricales; Hydnangiaceae.